This 497-nucleotide ribosomal RNA is filed under the name uncultured bacterium. Its description in RNAcentral is "partial 16S ribosomal RNA". It matches the Rfam family "Bacterial small subunit ribosomal RNA", at positions 28 to 507 of the family's 1533-position model. The record is from RNAcentral.
GAUGAACGCUGGCGGCGUGCCUAAUACAUGCAAGUCGAGCGAACAGACGAGGAGCUUGCUCCCCUGACGUUAGCGGCGGACGGGUGAGUAACACGUGGAUAACCUACCUAUAAUACUGGGAUAACUUCGGGAAACCGGAGCCACUACUGGAUAAUAUAUUCAACCGCAUGGUUCAAUAGUGAAAGACGGUUUUGCUGUCACUUAUAGAUGGAUCCGCGCCGCAUUAGCUAGUUGGUAAGGUAACGGCUUACCAAGGCGACGAUGCGUAGCCGACCUGAGAGGAUGAUCGGCCACACUGGAACUGAGACACGGUCCAGACUCCUACGGGAGGCAGCAGUAGGGAAUCUUCCGCAAUGGGCGAAAGCCUGACGGAGCAACGCCGCGUGAGUGAUGAAGGUCUUCGGAUCGUAAAGCUCUGUUAUUAGGGAAGAACAAAUGUGGAAGUAACUAUGCACGUCUUGACGGUACCUAAUCAGAAAGCCACGGCUAACUACGUG